RNAcentral lists this ribosomal RNA (2907 nucleotides) under Klebsiella grimontii. Its description in RNAcentral is "23S ribosomal RNA". It matches the Rfam family "Bacterial large subunit ribosomal RNA". Lineage: Bacteria; Pseudomonadati; Pseudomonadota; Gammaproteobacteria; Enterobacterales; Enterobacteriaceae. The record is from RNAcentral.
GGUUAAGCGACUAAGCGUACACGGUGGAUGCCCUGGCAGUCAGAGGCGAUGAAGGACGUGCUAAUCUGCGAAAAGCGUCGGUAAGGUGAUAUGAACCGUUAUAGCCGGCGAUGUCCGAAUGGGGAAACCCAGUGCAAUUCGUUGCACUAUCGUUUGAUGAAUACAUAGUCAAACGAGGCGAACCGGGGGAACUGAAACAUCUAAGUACCCCGAGGAAAAGAAAUCAACCGAGAUUCCCCCAGUAGCGGCGAGCGAACGGGGAGCAGCCCGGAGUCUGAAUCAGCUUGUGUGUUAGUGGAAGCGUCUGGAAAGUCGCAGGGUACAGGGUGAUACUCCCGUACACUAAAGCACACAGGUUGUGAACUCGAAGAGUAGGGCGGGACACGUGGUAUCCUGUCUGAAUAUGGGGGGACCAUCCUCCAAGGCUAAAUACUCCUGACUGACCGAUAGUGAACCAGUACCGUGAGGGAAAGGCGAAAAGAACCCCGGCGAGGGGAGUGAAAAAGAACCUGAAACCGUGUACGUACAAGCAGUAGGAGCCUCUUUAUGGGGUGACUGCGUACCUUUUGUAUAAUGGGUCAGCGACUUAUAUUCUGUAGCAAGGUUAACCGUAUAGGGGAGCCGCAGGGAAACCGAGUCUUAACUGGGCGUUAAGUUGCAGGGUAUAGACCCGAAACCCGGUGAUCUAGCCAUGGGCAGGUUGAAGGUUGGGUAACACUAACUGGAGGACCGAACCGACUAAUGUUGAAAAAUUAGCGGAUGACUUGUGGCUGGGGGUGAAAGGCCAAUCAAACCGGGAGAUAGCUGGUUCUCCCCGAAAGCUAUUUAGGUAGCGCCUCGUGAAUUCAUCUUCGGGGGUAGAGCACUGUUUCGGCUAGGGGGUCAUCCCGACUUACCAACCCGAUGCAAACUACGAAUACCGAAGAAUGUUAUCACGGGAGACACACGGCGGGUGCUAACGUCCGUCGUGAAGAGGGAAACAACCCAGACCGCCAGCUAAGGUCCCAAAGUCAUGGUUAAGUGGGAAACGAUGUGGGAAGGCCCAGACAGCCAGGAUGUUGGCUUAGAAGCAGCCAUCAUUUAAAGAAAGCGUAAUAGCUCACUGGUCGAGUCGGCCUGCGCGGAAGAUGUAACGGGGCUAAACCAUGCACCGAAGCUGCGGCAGCGACACUAUGUGUUGUUGGGUAGGGGAGCGUUCUGUAAGCCGUUGAAGGUGGCCUGUGAGGGUUGCUGGAGGUAUCAGAAGUGCGAAUGCUGACAUAAGUAACGAUAAUGCGGGUGAAAAACCCGCACGCCGGAAGACCAAGGGUUCCUGUCCAACGUUAAUCGGGGCAGGGUGAGUCGACCCCUAAGGCGAGGCCGAAAGGCGUAGUCGAUGGGAAACAGGUUAAUAUUCCUGUACUCGGUGUUACUGCGAAGGGGGGACGGAGAAGGCUAUGUUGGCCGGGCGACGGUUGUCCCGGUUUAAGCAUGUAGGCGGAUGUUCCAGGUAAAUCCGGAACGUUACUAACGCUGAGGUGUGAUGACGAGGCACUACGGUGCUGAAGUGACAAAUGCCCUGCUUCCAGGAAAAGCCUCUAAGCAUCAGGUAACAUCAAAUCGUACCCCAAACCGACACAGGUGGUCAGGUAGAGAAUACCAAGGCGCUUGAGAGAACUCGGGUGAAGGAACUAGGCAAAAUGGUGCCGUAACUUCGGGAGAAGGCACGCUGAUAUGUAGGUGAAGUGGUUUACCCAUGGAGCUGAAAUCAGUCGAAGAUACCAGCUGGCUGCAACUGUUUAUUAAAAACACAGCACUGUGCAAACACGAAAGUGGACGUAUACGGUGUGACGCCUGCCCGGUGCCGGAAGGUUAAUUGAUGGGGUUAUCCGUAAGGAGAAGCUCUUGAUCGAAGCCCCGGUAAACGGCGGCCGUAACUAUAACGGUCCUAAGGUAGCGAAAUUCCUUGUCGGGUAAGUUCCGACCUGCACGAAUGGCGUAAUGAUGGCCAGGCUGUCUCCACCCGAGACUCAGUGAAAUUGAACUCGCUGUGAAGAUGCAGUGUACCCGCGGCAAGACGGAAAGACCCCGUGAACCUUUACUAUAGCUUGACACUGAACACUGGUCCUUGAUGUGUAGGAUAGGUGGGAGGCUUUGAAGUGUGGACGCCAGUCUGCAUGGAGCCAUCCUUGAAAUACCACCCUUUAAUGGCUGGUGUUCUAACGUGGGCCCCUAAUCGGGGUUGCGGACAGUGUCUGGUGGGUAGUUUGACUGGGGCGGUCUCCUCCUAAAGAGUAACGGAGGAGCACGAAGGUCAGCUAAUCCUGGUCGGACAUCAGGAGGUUAGUGCAAUGGCAUAAGCUGGCUUGACUGCGAGCGUGACGGCGCGAGCAGGUGCGAAAGCAGGUCAUAGUGAUCCGGUGGUUCUGAAUGGAAGGGCCAUCGCUCAACGGAUAAAAGGUACUCCGGGGAUAACAGGCUGAUACCGCCCAAGAGUUCAUAUCGACGGCGGUGUUUGGCACCUCGAUGUCGGCUCAUCACAUCCUGGGGCUGAAGUAGGUCCCAAGGGUAUGGCUGUUCGCCAUUUAAAGUGGUACGCGAGCUGGGUUUAGAACGUCGUGAGACAGUUCGGUCCCUAUCUGCCGUGGGCGCUGGAGAAUUGAGGGGGGCUGCUCCUAGUACGAGAGGACCGGAGUGGACGCAUCACUGGUGUUCGGGUUGUCAUGCCAAUGGCAUUGCCCGGUAGCUAAAUGCGGAAGAGAUAAGUGCUGAAAGCAUCUAAGCACGAAACUUGCCCCGAGAUGAGUUCUCCCUGACUCCUUGAGAGUCCUGAAGGAACGUUGAAGACGACGACGUUGAUAGGCCGGGUGUGUAAGCGCAGCGAUGCGUUGAGCUAACCGGUACUAAUGAACCGUGAGGCUUAACCUU